This is a non-coding RNA of Streptococcus gallolyticus, 138 nucleotides long. The record is from Rfam. NCBI's taxonomy places the organism in Bacteria, Bacillati, Bacillota, Bacilli, Lactobacillales, Streptococcaceae.
AAAACCUUUAAUUAAGUCCAGAGAGACUUUCAAGGUUACUGUAAAAAAGAGUUUUAACUCUAAUAAAAGGUAUGAGUUUGCUUUGGUGUACUCUGCUUAUUUUGCUGUAACCUUGCCUUCUGGCGAGGUUUUUUUUGU